This is a long non-coding RNA of Felis catus (domestic cat), 685 nucleotides long. RefSeq lists it as uncharacterized. The record is from RefSeq and is a predicted model, not a curated record. Lineage: Eukaryota; Metazoa; Chordata; Mammalia; Carnivora; Felidae. The transcript is spliced from 2 exons.
UACGCUUAACUUGAAGUUUAAUGAUUUCAGUGUUAAUCUUAUCUAAAAUACACUUUAACAGUAACAUCCAGACACGUUUAACCAAAUAUCUGGAUACUGUGGCUUAGCCAAGUUGACAUAUAAAAUUAACCAUCACAGAAGGAAUACUGAUCAUUCAAGGAACAAAUUUAGCACAAUAUCUAACACACAAAGCUAAUCAUAAUAAUGAUAAUAAUAAUAAUAUAAUAUAGCUAUUAUUAUUUCUGCUGUUAUUCUUCUUUACUGAAUACCUACUCUUUUUUUUUUUUUUUUUUGCUGGGCAUCAGAUUAGGUUCUGAAGACAUGAGAAUUCACAAGAUACCAAUCUUUGUCCUCAAAGAACUUACAGUCUAAACACAGAUCCUAAUAAGCUACCUGACAGCAUUCUGAAUACUAUGAGAACAAAAGACUACUCUGAGGAAUAUGGGUUUGGAUAUUCUGAAGAAAGCUGAAGGACUUUGCACUUGUCAUCUGCCCUUUGUUGUUCACUUUCCACAUUUGUGAAAUGAAGAUAUUGGACUCAAUUCUCUUUGAAAGCCCUUGUCUUACUCUAAACUUCUGCAAUCCUGUGACUACUUUGUACAUAAUACAUUCUGGAGGGGGAUGGGGGAAUACUUUUGGCCCUACCACGUCAAUAAACUGAAAGCAAUAAGUAGUACCACCACCA